UACGGAGGGUGCGAGCGUUGUCCGGAAUCACUGGGCGUAAAGGGCGCGUAGGCGGCCUGAUAAGUAGGGGGUGAAAUCCUGCGGCUUAACCGCAGGGCUGCCUUCUAAACUGUCAGGCUGGAGCACAGUAGAGGCAGGUGGAAUUCCCGGUGUAGCGGUGGAAUGCGUAGAGAUCAGGAAGAACAUCAGUGGCGAAGGCGGCCUGCUGGGCUGUUGCUGACGCUGAGGCGCGACAGCGUGGGGAGCAAACAGG
RNAcentral lists this ribosomal RNA (253 nucleotides) under uncultured bacterium. RNAcentral describes it as "partial 16S ribosomal RNA". It matches the Rfam family "Bacterial small subunit ribosomal RNA", at positions 524 to 776 of the family's 1533-position model. The record is from RNAcentral.